Molecule: ribosomal RNA, 253 nt
Filed under: uncultured bacterium
Lineage: Bacteria
Description: partial 16S ribosomal RNA
Rfam family: Bacterial small subunit ribosomal RNA
Source: RNAcentral
CACGUAGGGGACGAGCGUUGUCCGGAUUCAUUGGGCGUAAAGCGCGCGUAGGCGGCUCGGAAAGUCGGUCGUGAAAUGCCGGGGCUCAACCCCGGGACUGCGUCCGAUACUCUCGAGCUGGAGGCAGGUAGGGGAGAUCGGAAUUCCUGGUGUAGCGGUGAAAUGCGCAGAUAUCAGGAGGAACACCGGUGGCGAAGGCGGGAUCCUGGGCCAGUACUGACGCUGAGGAGCGAAAGCGUGGGGAGCAAACAGG